RNAcentral lists this long non-coding RNA (2244 nucleotides) under Panax ginseng (ginseng). RNAcentral describes it as "long non-coding RNA (PGIN_LNC004315)". The record is from RNAcentral. Lineage: Eukaryota; Viridiplantae; Streptophyta; Magnoliopsida; Apiales; Araliaceae.
AUCUUGUAUGAUAGUGGCAAAAAACCCUUCCAAAGUUGGGUUCACCUCACCCUAUUCGGAUCACCAAAAUCAACGGUUAAAAUGACGUAUAAAAUACGAUAGAUUUAUUUAAAAUUCUUGAUAAAAUUAUUUCCAUACUAUUUUAGGGAAAACCUCAACAGCUAUAGAUCAUCGUUCUAUUCCCUUGUUACCCCCGCUCGACCCAGCUACACUCUUAUUACCUGAAAGCAAUUGUGAAGCAAAAGGGUGAGCACAACUAGCCCAGUAAAGAAUAUCAUGACUAAAGAUAAUUAAAUUAUCAAUAGCCUUCGUCAAUAAUAAAUCAAGGAUUUAUAACAUAUGGUAGAUGAUAAAAAUUUUCAACCAUAGUUGCAGCGGAACGAGCAAUCCAUUAGAAGAUUCAAAUAGACCAUAAAGUCUAUUAUAUUCUCUUUGUUAAAAGUCCACCAACAAUGUUUUAACCCUGUAACAUCAGUCAACAGUUCAUGUCCACAAUCAUGUAAAUAACUCAGAUUAGGUUACCUAAAGCAAGACAAUGCUUGUUUUAAAGAUCAAGUGACAGAAGACAAAUUGAACUUAGCUUUGCUCAUCAAAUGAUGGCAGCCCCAAAGAGAAAUUUCUUUGUGAAAUUCUGAACAUGAAAUAGAAACACAAAAAUUGACUUUUUGCAUUACUUAAUGAAUAUAUAGUUGCUGAAGCAUCUGAUACAACCUCACUGCAACAUGUACUAGAGAAUAAAUAAUAAUAAAUAAAUAAAGGAGACCUGGGACAAAUUAUAGGGCAUGCUGUCAUCUUUCCAAUUGAUUGUCCAAUUGUCUUACUGAAGUCCUACAACUAUUAAUUUCACUUAUAUUUACAUUGGACAGUAUAGAAAAGAAUGCAAGAAAAUGAAAACAGAUUUUAGGCAACGAACUCUAAACCGCAACUUAUGUAAACCAGGAAAAUCUGGCAUAUUCUUAAGAGUUUAAUCAGCUUAUUAAUAUAGCAGGCAUCUAAAUGAAGUGACUCUAAAAAGCUGGGCCCUUCACAUGUUGUCACAAACAAAAUUGGAGUUUAAAACUAGAAAAUCAGCAUUCGUGAAUGCAAUCUACACGAGUUACCUGAAUCUAGAGAAAAAGCGGUUUAAAAGGUCACAAGUUUUUCUCCAACAGAACCAAAAAAUAAACAAUCUUACCCAGGAAGUCAGGUUUUUUUAAUCAUAGAAGUUAGAACAAAUAGUCAAAAGUUUUUAAAUUUUUUAUUUUGCCAAAAUACUGAAAGUCUAUUUCAGUAAAUGAGCAAAAUAAAGUAGAAAACAUAAUUUACCCAGUAAUGGCAAUAAAACUAUCAGGAAACAUAAAGUAGUAUUGGUUUCCCACAAAAUAAUAUACUUGUAUGAUUUUUUUUUUGUAUAUAUGACCGAAUGAAGAACUCUAGUUGUCAAGAUUAGCUCACAAAACAAAAAACAUCUAUGGCAUUAUUUUAUGAGUUAUUUUGUAAAUUACAGAGACCAUUUGAUUACCAUAUUCUAUAAAUCAGCAAGCAAUCAAAAAUGCAGCAUUUGAUAGUACAAAAAGAAUAAAUAAAUAUUAAACGAAUCUGUAAACUGACGAGGAACAAUCAAAAUUACAAAGGCCAAGCUUAAUUCCAUGAAAGAUAACAGAACCUCCAUGAAAUUUCCAAAUAAUCCAGCACAGAGAAAUUGAACCAUUUAACCAAAGCUUAAAUUUUAGUUCUCACAAAUACAUGGGCACACAUGGGCACAAAAACCACAUCACAAAUAUACUACCACAACUUACUUUAAACUGAUCCAUUAAAAAAUAAAUUCUAAUCUAUCACAAUAAUUUUCUCAAAUCAAAUUACUAUAAAUAUACGCAGUCACACACAAACACAGAUAACACACACCACAAACAAACACAUGAUUAACACCAAUAAAAAAAACAAAUCUUAAGAUAUAAGAACAUUAUAUUCCAUAAUUUUGCAAUCAAAUAACAAACAACCCAUUUCAUUAGCUAAGAUACAAAAAAUUAAUAACUAAUACCCAAAUCUUCUCAGCAGCCAAAUAGCGAAACCUUAGAGUGAUUGAUUUGUAAAUUAAAAAAAAAUCAUAUUAGGGUGUGGACCUGAUUUGGGUAGAAUUAUUUCGGUAGUUGUUAGCAGCUUUGAAGCGCAGGAUCUCAAUCCAUUAUUCGUGGCCAUGGUGGUUCGGUUUGUUAUCGUAGAGAAAAUGUGAGAAAUGAGAACAAAAAGAACCCUCUUUCUCUC